GGGUUGUGAGGUUAAGCGACUAAGCGUACACGGUGGAUGCCCUGGCAGUCAGAGGCGAUGAAGGACGUGCUAAUCUGCGAAAAGCGUCGGUAAGGUGAUAUGAACCGUUAUANCCGGCGAUGUCCGAAUGGGGAAACCCAGUGCAAUUCGUUGCACUAUCGUUAACUGAAUACAUAGGUUAACGAGGCGAACCGGGGGAACUGAAACAUCUAAGUACCCCGAGGAAAAGAAAUCAACCGAGAUUCCCCCAGUAGCGGCGAGCGAACGNGGAGCAGCCCAGAGUCUGAAUCAGCUUGUGUGUUAGUGGAACGGUCUGGAAAGUCCGACGGUACAGGGUGAUAGUCCCGUACACCAAAAUGCACAGGNUGUGAACUCGAAGAGUAGGGCGGGACACGUGGUAUCCUGUCUGAAUAUGGGGGGACCAUCCUCCAAGGCUAAAUACUCCUGACUGACCGAUAGUNAACCAGUACCGUGAGGGAAAGGCGAAAAGAACCCCGGCGAGGGGAGUGAAAAAGAACCUGAAACCGUGUACGUACAAGCAGUGGGAGC
Molecule: ribosomal RNA, 549 nt
Filed under: Klebsiella pneumoniae
Lineage: Bacteria; Pseudomonadati; Pseudomonadota; Gammaproteobacteria; Enterobacterales; Enterobacteriaceae
Description: partial 23S ribosomal RNA
Rfam family: Bacterial large subunit ribosomal RNA
Source: RNAcentral